This 278-nucleotide ribosomal RNA is filed under the name uncultured bacterium. Its description in RNAcentral is "partial 16S ribosomal RNA". It matches the Rfam family "Bacterial small subunit ribosomal RNA", at positions 506 to 784 of the family's 1533-position model. The record is from RNAcentral.
UGCCAGCCGCCGCGGUAAUACGGAGGGUGCUAGCGUUGUUCGGAAUUACUGGGCGUAAAGAGUGCGUAGGCGGCUAGACAAGUUGGGGUGAAAUCCCAGGGCUCAACCCUGGAACUGCCUCCUAAACUAUCAGUCUAGAGUUCGAGAGAGGUGAGUGGAAUUCCAAGUGUAGAGGUGAAAUUCGUAGAUAUUUGGAGGAACACCAGUGGCGAAGGCGGCUCACUGGCUCGAUACUGACGCUGAGGUGCGAAAGCGUGGGGAGCAAACAGGAUUAGAUA